GUAAGGAAUAUUGGUCAAUGGACGAAAGUCUGAACCAGCCAUGCCGCGUGGAGGAUGAAGGUCCUCUGGAUUGUAAACUUCUUUUAUAUGGGACGAAAAUGGGGCUUUCUAGCUCAACUGACGGUACCAUAUGAAUAAGCACCGGCUAACUCCGUGCCAGCAGCCGCGGUAAUACGGAGGGUGCAAGCGUUAUCCGGAUUCACUGGGUUUAAAGGGUGCGUAGGUGGAUUGGUAAGUCAGAGGUGAAAUCUCCGGGCUCAACUCGGAAACUGCCUUUGAUACUAUCAAUCUUGAAUAUUGUGGAGGUUAGCGGAAUAUGUCAUGUAGCGGUGAAAUGCUUAGAUAUGACAUAGAACACCAAUUGCGAAGGCAGCUGGCUACACAUAUAUUGACACUGAGGCACGAAAGCGUGGGGAUCAAACAGGAUUAGAAACCCUAGUAGUCC
This 445-nucleotide ribosomal RNA is filed under the name uncultured bacterium. RNAcentral's name for it is "partial 16S ribosomal RNA". It matches the Rfam family "Bacterial small subunit ribosomal RNA", at positions 354 to 796 of the family's 1533-position model. The record is from RNAcentral.